GUCUCUCUCCGGUCUCCGGUCAGCCUGCUGUCUGUCAGCAGCAGCAGCAGCACGGGGAGCGGAGGUUGCGGCUGCGCAUGCGCUCAACCAACUGCUGCUACUGCGAAACAAAGAUCGUCUAAUGAGGCGAUGAUCAGGUGCAGAACCAGAGUAUAUAUGUCCCCCAGCAGAGAGCGAGGAGAUCCAGAGGAGGCUGGUGGAGAGGAGGAGACAACGAGAGGUUCCGACUCAGACGCCACUGAGGAUGAGGAGUGCAGCCGAAGAAGAAAAAUGAUACUCUUCCAUCCAUCAGCCGUGUGGCGUCUCAGCAGAACAUGCAGCAGAUGGAUGUGAGCGGCAGCGACAUGCAUGAUGGAGCGACGCCAGCAGAGAGACGGAGGCCAGGAUGUUUUCUCUGAUGCUUCAGCUCUUAAUUAUAAAUGAGUAAAGUAUUGACGAGGCUGUCGUGAUGUAUGAGAUGACAACAACAACAUGUAUCGAUCAACUGAUCAGGUAGUUUUCAUGCAGCUGAUGAACCAAGAAGCUGCAGCGUCUCUCUCUGUGUGUGUGUGUGUGUGUGUGUGUUUAGGUGUGUGUGAGGCUGCGGAUCCUUCUGACCUUGGACGCCCGUUAAGCUGCUGGAAACACGGAGCAGCUCAUCAAAUAUUUACGGCUCCAUCUAAUUCAGGACUUCAUGUGGUCUUUCUUCCUCUGGCCUCGGGCUGUCGGCCGCAGGCUGCCGGAGAAGAGAGGAAAACACAUCAGCAACCGAGACCACGCUCACUACAAACACAUGAAACAGCACCGUUCACUCUGCAUCCCAUAAUGAGCUCCUACACUAAUUAUUCAGGGUUAAUACUUUGAACUCAAGGCCAACUUCUGAACUAUAAGGAUUGAAAAUGGAAAUAAAAAUGUCUGUUUCGGGCCUGGAAUUAAUGAUAAUUAUUAUAAUGACUUAGAUUAUUUUUUUUGCAAUUAAUUUCUUUUUCUUUUAAAUUAUAAAAUGUCCAGAAAAGCAUGAAUUAAAAAUGUCUCAGAACCC
Sebastes umbrosus (honeycomb rockfish) is the source of this 1021-nucleotide long non-coding RNA. RefSeq lists it as uncharacterized. The transcript has 4 exons. The record is from RefSeq and is a predicted model, not a curated record. NCBI's taxonomy places the organism in Eukaryota, Metazoa, Chordata, Actinopteri, Perciformes, Sebastidae.